Vigna unguiculata (cowpea) is the source of this 1227-nucleotide long non-coding RNA. NCBI's taxonomy places the organism in Eukaryota, Viridiplantae, Streptophyta, Magnoliopsida, Fabales, Fabaceae. The record is from RefSeq and is a predicted model, not a curated record.
GUAUAAAAAAUCUUAUUAGCAUGAACUCUAAUUUGGUCCAUGAAAUAUGAAGAAUAUAGUCUUUUGGAAGGGAGUGCAUUUAAGAGAGGUGGUUGGAGUUGACAGAAGCAAAGAAGCACUGAAAAACAGAUAAAGAGUAAGAUUAAAAUUGAGAGACGCAGAAGAAGUUAAGGCGAAAGAGAAUGGAAGAAGAGAGAAGAGCAACAUUCUACGUGUACCAUCCAUGCGAUUUUCUUCAAGAAGCAGUGAGGGCAGUUUUGAAGUGUCUGGGUAUUGAGUCUUCACAACCAAAAGAAGAGAGAAACUCAUCGCCACAAACACAUGCUGCUGCAGAUCCUACUACAAACUCUCCAACAAAAACUCAAACAUCCCUAGAUGAUGCUGCAGAUCCACCAUCUAAUGCAAGUUUAUUUGCAAGGCGUGAUGGUAGUCGAAGGUCUGCAAUCAGCCAUGGACCCGGCCCUCAGCAUAAUUAAUAUAUGCCAUGGCUCUGCACUUUCCACUUCAAAAUUUCAGAAGUUUUAAGGGCUUACUCUAGGACCAGCCCUUCUGAAUAAAUAAAAAAUUGUGUUCACUUUCCUUCUCAGUGUUUAUCUAACAGAAGCAAGUUAUCGUAAAUUUGCUUUCGCUACCUAUUUAUUGAUCUUUCAUCUACUUUACCAUUUCUAGAUAGAGUUGUAUUGUAUUGUAUGUGUAUGGGAAUUAAAUGUUGUUCUAGAUAUACAGAAGGUCUCACCUGCAAAUUAUCAGUAUUUAUUUGCUGCCUUGUGGCUCACAAUUUUCUUAUUUUGUGUGUCCACUUUAAUAUAUACAUAUUAUAAAUUGUGGCACCAUUAUUCUUCCGACAAAAAGAGGGGCCUAAACAGAAGACGACGCAUUCAAUAGUAUCUGAAGUUUGAGUUGGUGGUGUGCGUCAAACAAGGAGGGCCAUAUUAUGUUUUUUGAUGACUAUUAUUAUUAGAAUUGAAGGAAAAUGGUAACAUCCCAUUAUUAAUAAUUGGUGAUAAUUGAUAAAAGAAAAUGAAAUUGUAUAUUGUGUGAGUGCAGUUUUCUAUAUACAUGCCGCUCAAAUUUUUUCACGUCAUGUUUUUUGGUAUUAAAACUUUUCUAUUUAACGCCUUAGUUUUCUAGCUUAACAUUAUUUUGGUUCACUAUUCCAAUAUUUUGGGCGUAUAAAUUUAUUAAAAAAAAAAAUACUAAGUUACUUCGUUUUAAAAGGUUGUUAUA